This is a long non-coding RNA of Zalophus californianus (California sea lion), 1375 nucleotides long. RefSeq lists it as uncharacterized. The record is from RefSeq and is a predicted model, not a curated record. NCBI's taxonomy places the organism in Eukaryota, Metazoa, Chordata, Mammalia, Carnivora, Otariidae. The transcript is spliced from 4 exons.
GACUGCGUCACGGGCCCGCAGAGACUGUGCCCUGGCUUGUUCAUGUUGGUGUGCUGGCUCCUAGCCAGUGCCCGGCGCUUCAGGUGCCACUACCCGUCAGUAGGAGAGGGCUUGGCGUCUCCGUUCUGGCGCUGCCCUGACCUUGGCUCCGUAGAACUCACGGCCUGACACCCUGCAGUCUCAGGUCAGAAAACCAACCUCCGCGGAAACAGACUGCUGUUCUCGGUGGGCAGAAGAGCGAUAUGAUAUUUAAUGAGUGUAUGCUAAGUGCCAGCCUUGCGGCUGCUGAGGAUAUAAUGGGGAGAAAGACCCCCACUCUCAAGGACUUGAGCUGCAGAAGUUCUCCGUGUUGGCAGGGAACCCCUGGAGAAUUCCAUCUGGGACUUAGUCCCUCAUUUAUCUGCAACUUUGUAUUCCAAUGGGCUCUACAUUGACAGCCCAUCCUCAGACUCGGGACGUAAUCCUCUGAUAAACACUUUGCAGUCUUAACUUCACCUCAGCAUCUGCUUCCCAGAGAACCCAGCCAGCGUAAACUCUGACAAGACGCCAUGCCAUUUGAGGCCAGUGUGUCUGCACUGAGAUUUUUUUUCACUAAUAUAUUGGGGUGGAUGGUUUGAAUUCUCUCAAAGGUCUUUCUAUUCCUUCCGUUCUGUGAUGCCUGUGAAUCUAUAUGGAAUAGGAUUUGGUAUAAAUUCUGAGUGUUUAGCCUCUACGUAAGGGAGUUUUAUGGUGAAAGAGGGUUUUGAGGAAAAAGCUCACUGCUCCGGAGCCCCCCACUUUCCUACCAACAACAAUCUGUAAUGAUUCUACCUCUGUCAAAAUGUUCAUAGAAAGAUGAUUAUGAGUGUGGAUUGAUAUGUAUGAAAAUUAUACAGUAAGAAGUUAUGUGUAUGUGUAAAAUAAUACAUUUAACAUGUAAUACACAACAAUGCACAAAUAUUCAAAAAUAUCAUAAUAUAAGUGGUCUAAUAAUAUACAUACAUAAAAAAAUCAGUCAAGACAGGGAUUUCACAGCAGAAAGAAAAUGGGUAGAGCUGUCUCACUGAUAGAUGGGGGGAAGAGAGGACUAUACUCCAAUACCUGAGUCUUCUGUCAAACUACACGCAAUAGGAGUAAGAAAAAACCCAGGUGAGCCUCCAGAGAGAAGAGUUUCUUGGACAGUGCACACCUCAGAACUCUGGGGGAUGCAGCCCUCCCCACUGCUUACCAGCUGCUUGGACUUACCAUCCCCAAUUUUGUCUGCGAGCCAAGAAUCAGAACAGAAGACGUGGUCCCUCUCCUUUCUGUCCUGGUCUUUUGUUUUCAAACAAACUUUAAAGAAAGUCUGGUCUGUGCCUUUUUUGCCAGUGGUCUCAAAUCAAAGAUGUCUGCCACA